Molecule: long non-coding RNA, 921 nt
Filed under: Marmota monax (woodchuck)
Lineage: Eukaryota; Metazoa; Chordata; Mammalia; Rodentia; Sciuridae
Source: RNAcentral
CUGGGUUCGAUCCUCAGCACCAUAUAAAAAUAAAUAAAAUAAAAGUAUUGUGUCCCUCAACAACAACAAAAAAAGAAAUACUUAGGAAUAAUUCUUACCAAAUAAAUGUCAGUUUUCUUCACUGAAAACUACGAAACAUAGCUAAAAUUAAAGGACCCCAAAAGGGGAAGUCAGCCAAUGUUCAUGGACCGGAAGACCUAAUAUCUUAGGAUGGCAAUACUCAUAAAGUUCGUGUUCAGAGUCCAUAAAUCUCUCACCCAGACACCCACCCCUUCUUAGCAGAAACAAAUAGGCUGAUCCUAAAACUCACAAGGAAGUGCAAAGAACUCAGAAUAGCCAGAGCAAUCUUGAAAAAGAACACUAUUUCAAAAAAAUCACGACAGAGUUACAGUCAGCAAAAGACCAAAUUAAAUGACGAUAAACAAAACCAAGAGCACCCACAAACGUUAAAGCAGUAAGAGGAAAGCAAGUCAUCAUGCACAGGAGUGCAACUGAGUGGUGGCUGGCCCCUCUUCAGAAGGAACAGAAGUGGAGGUGAUGCUCACAAAGCACCUCACACAGCUGCCACUUGGUCCACUCAGUGAAAGCAUCCUCAAGGUGGAAACAAAUGGAAGCUAUUCCAAGAUGAACAGAAACUGAAAGACCUAAUGCUAGCCAAUCUUACCUAUGAGAAAUGAAAAAGUGCUUCAGCCAAAUCUGCAGGACGCAAGGUAGAACCUCAGAAGUGGCAGAUGUGCUGCAGAUGUGAGGCAUGCAUGUGUGUGCACGUGCACGCGUGUGUGCACAUGCGCACACAUACAUGUGUGUGUGUAUUUGCACGUGUUUCCAAAGUUUUAAGGAAUGUAAGUUUGUUUAAUUAGAGAAUAAUUGCAGCACUGCCCUGUGAAGCUUGGAACACAUAAAUCACACAUACACAUGCAC